CUAGCCCUAAACCCAAAUAGUUACAUAACAAAACUAUUCGCCAGAGUACUACUCGCAACUGCCUAAAACUCAAAGGACUUGGCGGUGCUUCACAUCCACCUAGAGGAGCCUGUUCUAUAAUCGAUAAACCCCGAUAGACCUUACCAACCCUUGCCAAUUCAGCCUAUAUACCGCCAUCUUCAGCAAACCCUAAAAAGGAACAAUAGUAAGCACAAUCAUAGCACAUAAAAACGUUAGGUCAAGGUGUAGCUUAUGGGUUGGAAAGAAAUGGGCUACAUUUUCUACAUAAGAAUAUCCACCACACGAAAGUUUUUAUGAAACUAA
Molecule: ribosomal RNA, 324 nt
Filed under: Sus scrofa (pig)
Lineage: Eukaryota; Metazoa; Chordata; Mammalia; Artiodactyla; Suidae
Description: partial small subunit ribosomal RNA
Rfam family: Bacterial small subunit ribosomal RNA
Source: RNAcentral